This 253-nucleotide ribosomal RNA is filed under the name uncultured bacterium. RNAcentral's name for it is "partial 16S ribosomal RNA". It matches the Rfam family "Bacterial small subunit ribosomal RNA", at positions 524 to 776 of the family's 1533-position model. The record is from RNAcentral.
UACGAAGGGGGCUAGCGUUGUUCGGAUUUACUGGGCGUAAAGCGCACGUAGGCGGAUUGGUCAGUUAGAGGUGAAAUCCCGGAGCUCAACUCCGGAACUGCCUUUAAUACUGCCAGUCUAGAGUCCGGAAGAGGUAAGUGGAACUCCUAGUGUAGAGGUGGAAUUCGUAGAUAUUAGGAAGAACACCAGUGGCGAAGGCGGCUUACUGGUCCGGUACUGACGCUGAGGUGCGAAAGCGUGGGGAGCAAACAGG